CUUGGGGGCCCGAACUUCUCGUUACUUUGAGGAAGUUGAUUUCUCCUCAGCCUGUGUGGGUUUCCUCUUAGCGACUGAGGGUUUUUGGUAGGAGUAUCCUUCCUCAUUGAGAUGAGGUCCCUUAUGUCUUUGAUGUAGUUCAUUUUUCAUUUAUCGCUGGUGUAGUUCGUCGCUUUCUCUUUUCAUCUCCCUCUUUUCUU
Molecule: long non-coding RNA, 200 nt
Filed under: Elaeis guineensis (African oil palm)
Lineage: Eukaryota; Viridiplantae; Streptophyta; Magnoliopsida; Arecales; Arecaceae
Description: long non-coding RNA (EGUI_LNC065558)
Source: RNAcentral